Esox lucius (northern pike) is the source of this 870-nucleotide long non-coding RNA. NCBI's taxonomy places the organism in Eukaryota, Metazoa, Chordata, Actinopteri, Esociformes, Esocidae. The record is from Ensembl.
CGUGAUGUCACGGCUGAUCUGCGAAAACUAACAAGAAUGGCGUUUCUAACAGACAGUAUCAAUAUAUUUGGUUGUCAAACUUCAACAAUCAUCAGAACUAAAUAGUUAUGUUUUAUCCAGAAUUUUAAUCGUUGCAGCCUGUAUAGUUCUAACACAACACAAAAAUCUAACGUGAAUAACAAUGACAAGUAACCAAUGACAAAGUUAAGAGGCGUGACUUGCUGGAGGCCCCCCAGCUGCGAUGUAAAGACAGUAUUUAACCCCGCAGCAUCCACAGAAGUCAGCUGUUGUUUCAAGCGCGGAGUAUAUCGUUUCAGUUGUUGAGCGGAAUUAAACACCAGCCGUGUUUGGUAAACUUCAAAUCUUGUUGUAGCCGUUCAGGAGCCAUAUGAGCUGGCUCUUUCCGGUGACGGAGACAGAAGUGCCGGCUUAUCAAAAACACGCACAAUGCCCAUCACAACUGCUUAUACCAACAAGCAUGUAAGGAGCCAUUGAGAUGAUGAUGCAGGACGCACGAGCGACGAGGGAUGUUGUGCUGGAUGUUGAGCCGGACAGACAGGCAAUGAGGGAUGUUGAGCCGGACGGACAGGCGAUGAGGGAUGUUGAGCGGGAUGUUGAGCAGGACGGACGGGCAAUGAGGAUGGAGGGCAUGGUCCGGACAGACAGGAAAGUGGCCUGGACGUACAGCUCUAACUGGAUGUACAUUGAAGCAAACUGGAUGUCUUGUGCAUGAGCAUAUUGUGAAUGUAAUAAAAUGGAGAAUGAAGCGAUCAUCAAUCAAAUUAUGACUAUUAUCCAAUGACAAUAUGUAUUCUUUCUGUGAUGAUUAUUCUAGAAUUCAGACUAGGCUGCACUGUUUCUUCUAUUGGG